Molecule: unclassified non-coding RNA, 271 nt
Filed under: Hevea brasiliensis (rubber tree)
Lineage: Eukaryota; Viridiplantae; Streptophyta; Magnoliopsida; Malpighiales; Euphorbiaceae
Source: RNAcentral
CAUGAAUCCUGUGCAUAGUUAUUCUCUCUAUACUUUUCUUCCCAUUCUCUUUGGGCUUUUUCCUCAGCUUCAUAUUUCCCUAUAAGCAGCGCCUUAUGCUGCAAAGCUCUUUCCAUGCCUUCAUCACUCUCAUCGGCUUUCCUUUGAUUUUCCGAUGUCUCUGAAGUAGGUAAGUGAAGUUGAUCGUUCACAUCAUUAUUUCCAGCAUUGGUGUUACUGCGCCUUAUCCGUCGGCAUGAUUUUCCAGCCCGUUUUGGCGAAGAAGUUCCAG